Molecule: long non-coding RNA, 1052 nt
Organism: Panicum virgatum (switchgrass)
Lineage: Eukaryota; Viridiplantae; Streptophyta; Magnoliopsida; Poales; Poaceae
Exons: 2
Source: RefSeq, a predicted model, not a curated record
GGUGAAUGUCUGAUAAUCAAGACUUAGUUUGGGAACAUGGAGAGAAGAUUGGCAUUGGCUUCAAGUGCAAGUAUUGUCGUGUUGAAAAGGGUGGAGGAGGGGCAACACGGCUAAAGGAGCAUUUGGCACACCGAGGGAAGAAUGUGAGGUAUUGUCCCAAUGUUCCUAAAGAAGUGAAGGAGUACUUCGGGCUUCAGAUCGACAAUAACAAGCAAAGAACGAAAGCAAGACAUCGUCGAAAGCUAAGAGAAAAUGAAGCAGCUAGAACUGAAUAUGUGGACUUAGAGACUGAGAAUGACGACCAUGAUUUGGAAGCUGCUCUCCGACAGUCGAGAGAAGAGCAUGAGUAUAGAGAGAGGGCUUGUCAACGAUAUGAGAGAGGUGGUGGUUCCAGAUCGGGGCAAGUGAGAGGUACGUUCCCAUCUAUGCUCACUAGGAGCAGGACACAAGUGCCAGACCGUGUGAGAGACUACAAUCUUGCUUCUGCCUCUGGCCCAGGACAACCACGAAUUGAUAUAGGCCCAUGGACGGAAAAGGGGAGAGGGGCCAACAGCAAGAUUGGGAGAGCGUGGGAGAAGUUUUGCCAUGCGGCUGGUAUCCUCGGGAAGGUGAUAGCUCCAGUUCAGUGAGUUCAACCUUCAGCUAUCCACGUCCACCCUCCUACCCAUAUCCAUACCCACAACCAUACCCAUAUCCGUACCCACAACCAUAUUCACACCCACCACCAUAUCCAAGCCACUUCAUUCAACUACCGGUACAUCUUGGCAUGAGCACUAGUGGUCAGAUUGGUGAAUUACAGGAAUAUUAUUAUGGAUAUCACACAUACCAGCAAGAAGAGACCGAAGAAUGAUUAAAUUGAUAUGCCGAAUGCCUUUAUGUAUGGACUAUGUGCUUGCUAGUUUGUAUGUGGCUUGUAUAGACUAUGUACUUUUGUUUCUAUGCACUAUGAGGUUUGUAUGAACUAUGCACUAUUUUGUUUCUGUGAACUAUGAAGUUUGUAUGGACUAUGCACUCGUUUAUUUAUAUGAACUAUGCACUUCGCGGUUUGUAUA